This 440-nucleotide ribosomal RNA is filed under the name uncultured bacterium. RNAcentral describes it as "partial 16S ribosomal RNA". It matches the Rfam family "Bacterial small subunit ribosomal RNA", at positions 338 to 795 of the family's 1533-position model. The record is from RNAcentral.
CCUACGGGGGGCAGCAGUGGGGAAUAUUGCACAAUGGGGGAAACCCUGAUGCAGCGACGCCGCGUGAGUGAAGAAGUAUUUCGGUAUGUAAAGCUCUAUCAGCAGGGAAGAUAAUGACGGUACCUGACUAAGAAGCCCCGGCUAACUACGUGCCAGCAGCCGCGGUAAUACGUAGGGGGCAAGCGUUAUCCGGAUUUACUGGGUGUAAAGGGUGCGUAGGUGGCAGGGCAAGUCAGAUGUGAAAGCCCGGGGCUCAACCCCGGUACUGCAUUUGAAACUGUCCAGCUGGAGUGCAGGAGAGGUAAGCGGAAUUCCUAGUGUAGCGGUGAAAUGCGUAGAUAUCACGCAGAACUCCGAUUGCGAAGGCAGCAUACCGGCGCCCAACUGACGCUGAAGCACGAAAGCGUGGGUAUCGAACAGGAUUAGAUACCCUAGUAGUC